AGAGUUUGAUCCUGGCUCAGAGUGAACGCUGGCGGUAGGCCUAACACAUGCAAGUCGAACGGCAGCACAGGAGAGCUUGCUCUCUGGGUGGCGAGUGGCGGACGGGUGAGGAAUACAUCGGAAUCUACUCUGUCGUGGGGGAUAACGUAGGGAAACUUACGCUAAUACCGCAUACGACCUACGGGUGAAAGUGGGGGACCGCAAGGCCUCACGCGAUUGAAUGAGCCGAUGUCGGAUUAGCUAGUUGGCGGGGUAAAGGCCCACCAAGGCGACGAUCCGUAGCUGGUCUGAGAGGAUGAUCAGCCACACUGGAACUGAGACACGGUCCAGACUCCUACGGGAGGCAGCAGUGGGGAAUAUUGGACAAUGGGCGCAAGCCUGAUCCAGCCAUACCGCGUGGGUGAAGAAGGCCUUCGGGUUGUAAAGCCCUUUUGUUGGGAAAGAAAUCCUGUUGAUUAAUACUCGGCAGGGAUGACGGUACCCAAAGAAUAAGCACCGGCUAACUUCGUGCCAGCAGCCGCGGUAAUAC
RNAcentral lists this ribosomal RNA (529 nucleotides) under uncultured bacterium. Its description in RNAcentral is "bacterial SSU rRNA". It matches the Rfam family "Bacterial small subunit ribosomal RNA", at positions 8 to 526 of the family's 1533-position model. The record is from RNAcentral.